CCAAAUGGGGGAUCUCAGAAGUCUUAAUGAAGUAACUAUCCCUGAACACUGGGAUCAAUACUCAGCAUCCAGCUGUCAAAUCAACACCAAGCCGCCUCCUGGAGCAGAUUGUUAAGCUGAUGCGAGUCUGGGCUCUGCCUCACCACUUGUCUCAGAGACAGAGUCUUGCUCUGUCACCUAGGCUGGAGUGCAGUGGUGCCAUCACAGCUCACUGCAGCCUCGACCUCCCCGUGCUCAAGUGAUCCUCACACCUCAGCCUCCCGAGUAGCCGCGAUCACAAGUUAAACAAACACAGUUCUUUACAUCAGUGCUUCCGUCCCUGGCCACCUGGUCUCCUGUCCUCUCCAGACCCAAAACCAUGGGCUGGGCUGCAGCAAAAUGAGGGUGUACUCAGUGCACUGAGGCCCAUGUACCAUGAGAGAUGG
Molecule: long non-coding RNA, 425 nt
Filed under: Pan troglodytes (chimpanzee)
Lineage: Eukaryota; Metazoa; Chordata; Mammalia; Primates; Hominidae
Description: lincRNA
Source: RNAcentral